This 74-nucleotide transfer RNA is filed under the name Bacilli bacterium. Its description in RNAcentral is "tRNA-Trp". It matches the Rfam family "tRNA". From Rfam's summary of the family: Transfer RNA (tRNA) molecules are approximately 80 nucleotides in length. Their secondary structure includes four short double-helical elements and three loops (D, anti-codon, and T loops). Further hydrogen bonds mediate the characteristic L-shaped molecular structure. tRNAs have two regions of fundamental functional importance: the anti-codon, which is responsible for specific mRNA codon recognition, and the 3' end, to which the tRNAs corresponding amino acid is attached (by aminoacyl-tRNA synthetases). tRNAs cope with the degeneracy of the genetic code in two manners: having more than one tRNA (with a specific anti-codon) for a particular amino acid; and 'wobble' base-pairing, i.e. permitting non-standard base-pairing at the 3rd anti-codon position. Lineage: Bacteria; Bacillati; Bacillota; Bacilli. The record is from RNAcentral.
GGGGAUGUGGUUCAAUGGCAGAACAGCGGUCUCCAAAACCGUUGAUGUGGGUUCGAUUCCUUCCAUCCCCGCCA